GAAUAUUGGACAAUGGGGGGAACCCUGAUCCAGCCAUGCCGCGUGUGUGAAGAAGGCCUUUUGGUUGUAAAGCACUUUAAGCGAGGCGGCGGCUACUCUAGUUAAUACCUAGGGAUAGUGGACGUUACUCGCAGAAUAAGCCCCGGCUAACUCGUUGCACGCCGCCGCGGUAAUACAGGGGGUGCAAGCGUUAAUCGGAUUUACUGGGCGUAAAGCGCGCGUAGGUGGCCAAUUAGGUCAAAUGUGAAAUCCCCGAGCUUAACUUGGGAAGUGCAUUCGAUACUGGUUGGCUAGAGUAUGGGAGAGGAUGGUAGAAUUCCAGGUGUAGCGGUGAAAUGCGUAGAGAUCUGGAGGAAUACCGAUGGCGAAGGCAGCCAUCUGGCCUAAUACUGACACUGAGGUGCGAAAGCAUGGGGAGCAAACA
RNAcentral lists this ribosomal RNA (424 nucleotides) under uncultured bacterium. Its description in RNAcentral is "bacterial SSU rRNA". It matches the Rfam family "Bacterial small subunit ribosomal RNA", at positions 359 to 774 of the family's 1533-position model. The record is from RNAcentral.